Molecule: ribosomal RNA, 484 nt
Filed under: uncultured bacterium
Lineage: Bacteria
Description: bacterial SSU rRNA
Rfam family: Bacterial small subunit ribosomal RNA
Source: RNAcentral
AUUGAACGCUGGCGGAAUGCUUUACACAUGCAAGUCGAACGGCAGCACGGACUUCGGUCUGGUGGCGAGUGGCGAACGGGUGAGUAAUGUAUCGGAACGUGCCCAGUCGUGGGGGAUAACGUAGUGAAAAUUACGCUAAUACCGCAUACGAUCUAUGGAUGAAAGCGGGGGAUCGCAAGACCUCGCGCGAUUGGAGCGGCCGAUAUCAGAUUAGGUAGUUGGUGGGGUAAAGGCCCACCAAGCCAACGAUCUGUAGCUGGUCUGAGAGGACGACCAGCCACACUGGAACUGAGACACGGUCCAGACUCCUACGGGAGGCAGCAGUGGGGAAUUUUGGACAAUGGGCGCAAGCCUGAUCCAGCCAUUCCGCGUGCAGGAUGAAGGCCCUCGGGUUGUAAACUGCUUUUGUACAGAACGAAAAGCUCUGGGUUAAUACCUCGGGGUCAUGACGGUACUGUAAGAAUAAGCACCGGCUAACUACGUG